UAGGGGGACGAGUCUUCUUGCGGGCCACGGAAAGGGGCGAGUGGAGACGAAUGGCUAUCUACCCUGUACUGUUGCUUUGGCUAUGUGGGUCAUGUGGUGACAGGAGUAUAUGACGCGCACACAAGAAUUACAAACGUGGCCUCAGACUAUGGGAACCUGUUCUGCAUCGUGUUGGGUGUAUCCGACCUACCCUAUAAGGGACUUCAGUGACCUUUCCCGACCCGGAUGGGUCACGUGACCACGAGCCUCGCGUCCCGCCUCGAGACCGGGUGUAGGAAGACACUGUUUGUCUUGGGGAGUAUUGCAGUCACAGUAUUGUGCCUCGCGCCGGCGGAAAAGUAAACUGCAUCAUCUACAAAAAGUAUGCAGUAAAGUGUUUCUGAGUAAUAAUGGUCAUUAACUCUAUACUUAAAGUGAGAAUAUAUCAAAUACCCAUCACAAAGUGAACUUGGAAUGAAUCUUAUAUUCACUUGUGCGUUUGCCAUUUCGCAUUGAUCAGUGUUGUCAGUGAUACCAUCAUAUAUCGUUAGGAUAUGAGUGAAUGUCUGACCGAGGUAUGUGUGUAUGAGUGAAUGUCUGACGGAGGUAUGUGUGUAUGAGAGAAUGUCUGACGGAGGUAUGUGUGUAUGAGUGAAUGUCUGACGGAGGUAUGUGUGUAUGAGUGAAUGUCUGACGGAGGUAUGUGUGUAUGAGUGAAUGUCUGACGGAGGUAUGUGUGUAUGAGUGAGUGUCUGACGGAGGUUUGUGUGUGCGAGUGAGUGUCUGGGGGAUGUAUGUGUGUAUGAGUGAGGGUGUUUAAAUAUAUAC
Haliotis rufescens (red abalone) is the source of this 807-nucleotide long non-coding RNA. RefSeq lists it as uncharacterized. Lineage: Eukaryota; Metazoa; Mollusca; Gastropoda; Lepetellida; Haliotidae. The transcript has 3 exons. The record is from RefSeq and is a predicted model, not a curated record.